RNAcentral lists this non-coding RNA (161 nucleotides) under Omnitrophica bacterium RIFCSPLOWO2_01_FULL_45_10. RNAcentral's name for it is "6S RNA". It matches the Rfam family "6S / SsrS RNA". From Rfam's summary of the family: E. coli 6S RNA was the first non coding RNA to be sequenced, but its function was unknown until recently. It consists of 184 nucleotides that fold into an extended hairpin structure with a large single-stranded internal bulge. The record is from RNAcentral. Lineage: Bacteria; Pseudomonadati; Candidatus Omnitrophota.
AUCUCCCUGCAGUGCGCGUGAUUCGAGUGGAGAAUCUUGAGCCAACACUGUUUAAAUAGGGGAUCUAACUUUAUGGACGUUUAGGCGCCUGUAAGAGGAUCCCCACCUGUACAUAACAGGAUCAAGAUUAUUCAAUCUCGCACGGCACUUGCGGGGAUUUU